AAGGUGGUGAAGCAAUUGAUGCCCCGCUUCCAGGAAAAGCCUCUAAGCUUCAGGUUACCAACAAUCGUACCCCAAACCGACACAGGUGGUCAGGUAGAGAAUACUCAGGCGCUUGAGAGAACUCGGGUGAAGGAACUAGGCAAAAUGGUGCCGUAACUUCGGGAGAAGGCACGCUGGCGGUAGGUAAAGUCCCUUGCGGACGGCGCUGAAGCCAGUCGAAGAUACCAGCUGGCUGCAACUGUUUAUUAAAAACACAGCACUGUGCAAACACGAAAGUGGACGUAUACGGUGUGACGCCUGCCCGGUGCUGGAAGGUUAAUUGAUGGGGUCAGCCGUAAGGCGAAGCUCCUGAUCGAAGCCCCAGUAAACGGCGGCCGUAACUAUAACGGUCCUAAGGUAGCGAAAUUCCUUGUCGGGUAAGUUCCGACCUGCACGAAUGGCGUAAUGAUGGCCAGGCUGUCUCCACCCGAGACUCAGUGAAAUUGAACUCGCUGUGAAGAUGCAGUGUACCCGCGGCAAGACGGAAAGACCCCGUGAACCUUUACUAUAGCUUGACACUGAACAUUGAGCCUUGAUGUGUAGGAUAGGUGGGAGGCUUUGAAGUGUGGACGCCAGUCUGCAUGGAGCCAACCUUGAAAUACCACCCUUUAACGUUUGAUGUUCUAACCUAGGCCCAUAAACUGGGUCGGGGACCGUGUCUGGUGGGUAGUUUGACUGGGGCGGUCUCCUCCUAAAGAGUAACGGAGGAGCACGAAGGUUGGCUAAGCAUGGUCGGACAUCAUGCGGUUAGUGCAAAGGCAUAAGCCAGCUUGACUGCGAGAGUGACGGCUCGAGCAGGUACGAAAGUAGGUCUUAGUGAUCCGGUGGUUCUGAAUGGAAGGGCCAUCGCUCAACGGAUAAAAGGUACUCCGGGGAUAACAGGCUGAUACCGCCCAAGAGUUCAUAUCGACGGCGGUGUUUGGCACCUCGAUGUCGGCUCAUCACAUCCUGGGGCUGAAGUAGGUCCCAAGGGUAUGGCUGUUCGCCAUUUAAAGUGGUACGCGAGCUGGGUUUAGAACGUCGUGAGACAGUUCGGUCCCUAUCUGCCGUGGGCGUUGGAAGAUUGAGAGGGGUUGCUCCUAGUACGAGAGGACCGGAGUGAACGCACCACUGGUGUUCGGGUUGUCAUGCCAAUGGCAUUGCCCGGUAGCUAAGUGCGGAAGAGAUAACCGCUGAAAGCAUCUAAGCGGGAAACUUGCCUCGAGAUGAGUCUUCCCUGUCGCUUUAAGCGACCUAAAGGAACGUUUAAGACUAAGACGUUGAUAGGCUGGGUGUGUAAGCGUAGCGAUACGUUGAGCUAACCAGUACUAAUGAACCGUGAGGCUUAACCUG
Molecule: ribosomal RNA, 1371 nt
Filed under: Proteus mirabilis
Lineage: Bacteria; Pseudomonadati; Pseudomonadota; Gammaproteobacteria; Enterobacterales; Morganellaceae
Description: partial 23S ribosomal RNA
Rfam family: Bacterial large subunit ribosomal RNA
Source: RNAcentral